RNAcentral lists this long non-coding RNA (1017 nucleotides) under Numida meleagris (helmeted guineafowl). Its description in RNAcentral is "lncRNA (ENSNMEG00000008123.1)". The record is from RNAcentral. Lineage: Eukaryota; Metazoa; Chordata; Aves; Galliformes; Numididae.
AUGCGUAACUACAUCUGUGUGCAAGUUGGGGUUCGGCCCCAGAGACGCCUCAGCUGUAUGAAGGGCAGAAGAGCAGCCCCUUUUGGAAAGCAGACCGUCCCUCGCAUCAGCAGGGAAAAGAUGGAGCUGGAGCUCCACGGAAGCGUGGUCCAGCUGCAGACGUGUGUCUUACGGAGGGACUGUCACAUUAUCCACCUCGGCAAGCGGGCGGCUGAGGUCACGGCUGCCACACAGGUUGAGCUGGGGCAAGGAGACACAUCAGACCAAAUUAUGGAGGAGAGCUUCUGCUGUGAAACUCCCAUGAGAAAGAAUGAACACGAGAAGCAACUCCCCAGCCGCUCCCAAGGGCUAAUUGCUGAGAGUAAUGAACUGAGAGACACGCAGGGAAGGCCCAAACGAGUCAUUAGCCCUCGGUGGGAGGAGGACUGGUGCCCUCCCUGCAGCUGGGUUCAGGCGGAGGCCUGGGCUUCCCGUGGGGCAGGGGCUGCUACGUGGCAGCCCGGUGACACCCACCUGGGCGCGGUGCUGGUACCUGCCCUGGGCCGGGCUGGCAAUGCGUGCAGGACAUCAGGGCAGACCAGGGCUGCCAGCUGUGAAUCUGGGGCUGGAGGAUGCCCUGCCAUGGCACCAGGAUGGCCCCGAUACCCCUGGUGUCCCCUAAGGCUGAAGGCAGAGGAGGGUGCAGCUCCCGAGCAGCUUUGCACAAGGGCAGCAGCAGUUCCCGAACCACACGGCACCACGAUGUGUCCGUGGACAACUGGGUGCUUUCCCUUAGGGAAAGCAGGGAGUGAGCAAGGGAGAAACCGACCACCUAGCAACCCCGAGGCACCCAGCGGGCCCUGGAGCUGGAUGCUGUGCAGCCAUCAGGAACCUGCUCCACGCUCCCACAGGCUGCGUCAGCACAGGGCUGCCCUGUGUGUCCCUGGGUGCCCUGCUGUGCCCGGACAGGGGACCGAGGUGGCCCGACCUGGGGCAGGGCUGAGAGAGACCACAGUGCCCCUGGUCUCCGCUGGCUGA